GGGGCUGUAGCUCCGUGGCAGAGCAUGUGCCUUGCACGUAUGAGGCCCUGGGUUCGACACUCAGCACCACA
This 71-nucleotide transfer RNA is filed under the name Marmota monax (woodchuck). RNAcentral's name for it is "tRNA.Ala". It matches the Rfam family "tRNA". From Rfam's summary of the family: Transfer RNA (tRNA) molecules are approximately 80 nucleotides in length. Lineage: Eukaryota; Metazoa; Chordata; Mammalia; Rodentia; Sciuridae. The record is from RNAcentral.